Molecule: long non-coding RNA, 2471 nt
Filed under: Rattus norvegicus (Norway rat)
Lineage: Eukaryota; Metazoa; Chordata; Mammalia; Rodentia; Muridae
Description: long non-coding RNA NONRATT010790
Source: RNAcentral
UUUAAACUUUACGUAAGCAACUAGUUUUCCUUUAAAUGUAUGUUGAAUUCUCUUAGAGCCUAUUUAUACUAAAAGUUAUUUGCUUGAAGUUCAAGUUUAACUGGGAGGCCUGUGUUUUCCUGACAACCUUAAAAUACACUGGUGUGGAACAUUCCUUUUAGAGUUAAAUAGCUCUCUUCAUUGUGCUGUUUUGGUAUGUAGGGAAGCAGAACAAAGGCACAGGAGAUUUCUAGACAUUGUAGAAAGAUGAAUGGAUUAUAUAUUUAUUCUCAUAAUAGUUCCCCUAAUAGUAAAAUUUUGGGGGAAAUUUUAUUUUUAUAUAAUUUCAUAUUUACAGAAAAGUUUCAAAAACAGUUUAAAAAAAAACAAAAACAAAAAAACAAGUAAACAAACCACCAAACCACCAAACCUGCUUUACUCAGAUUCAUGGAUUGUUCACAUAUGUUUUAACCACUCACCCCACCUCACAGAGGUGACCGAACCCAGGACUUCAGUCAUGCUGGGCUAGCCCUGCAUCCAUGAGCUGUGUGCCCUCAGGCCUUGCUUAAGCUCCUACGUAGACGUAGAUGUCCUGUUUUUAUUUAAGGAUUUGAAAACCAGUCAUGGGCACCAUGAUUUAACACAAAAUACUUCAGUGUGAUGGUCUAAUUUCCUGAAAAUAAUUGUUUGUUCUUCUUUCAAGGAAAAACCAAACCUUAUGAAUCCGAGCCGAACUAUUAUAAGCCUUAAAAUAAGGAGCCGCCCGCCCCACAUCCCAGUCACCCAGUGUUUGAGUUUGGUUGCCCUUUCUCACCUGUGUAAUCACAGGGUAUACAAUUCAUGUUUCUUAUGCAUGAAAUUAAUUUUCUUUCCCUCUGUGGAGUGGGGCUAUAUUUUAGACAGGUUUUUAUUCGUGGAAGCUCUUCACUGAGAGCAAUAUUUGAAGUGGCUUAAGAAUUUACGUCACAGCAUUUAUAAAUGAUAUACCUCAAAGUUAUGCUCCUUUGAUGUCAUAUAAUGUCUUGAGCAGUUAGGACAGGUUGAGACGUGACAUAAGAAAAAGCAGGAUAUGUAUGUAAUGGAUAGGAAUGUCACUUUACACUGUUGUGUAUUUUCUCUGUCCCUAAGACUUGGUGUAGUGCCAAGCAUACAGUUGGUAUCUAAUUUUUGUUGAUGGAAAGUGUAUGGAUUUAGUAUACCUUAAGUGAAUGGUGUAGCUUGUGUAACAAUGUACCCUAUCUCCCCUUCCCUCUCACUUUUUCUUUCAAAUCGCAUAAUAAACCCACAGAUUAGAUCAGUUUUCUUGGGGACUUAAAAGUACUAAAUGAUCACCGCACAGAAGCCAGCCCUUUGAAACCCUCACUGCUUUCACUUGCGUUCUCCCACUUGACUGUCCCUGUGUCCUCUGUCUCUCCAAGUAAGGUCUAAACUCCUACGUCUUUCGUUAACAAGCAGUUUAAUUUUUAAGAAAUCUUAACUUUUCCUGUGCUUGACACAAUUGACAAUCCCUUUCUUCAAGCCCCACCACUCUGCGUCCUUGUAUCUGGCUUGCUCCUGGGUCUCUUCCUUCUGGUCUCUUCAUGUAACCGAAAUAUUAAUUCCCCAGACUUUUCUUUCUUGCUCUAAGUCACUGGACCAUACUCUUGUGUAAUUUCCAUGCAGUCAUCUUAUCUUAGCUUCUGUUUUCCUGCUGCGCUCACUUGGCUACCUGUUGCCACGUCUUCAAGGACUCACUUCGUUUGCGCUCCUCACUUGGUUAGUUUCAGAACAUUACACUGUUCAAGGUUCUCCAGUUCGCUCUUCUGUCUUCUGCCUGACUAUCGGUGUCUACGUUCUGCUGCUUCUACUCCAACAUUUCUAUCACUGUCUUUCAAUUUUUAUUACAGUUACUCAAAGGAUUUCCUGUGUUUAUUUUCCCAUCUCUGUUGGCCCAGAUUACCAAAUUGGGCUUUCUAGAAGCAUUCAGCCUCAUCCCUGCUACAGGCAGUUUUAGGAGCUUUUUGGUGAGAGACUCUGCUUGGUAUCUAAGACCCUCCUCUUGUGUUUGCCACUCUGCUCUGAUAAGAGUGUUAAAGAGUUUUCCAGAAGUCCAGAGUUGUAGCCCUCCAGACCUUCGUAGACACCAUAUUUGCAUGGAGAGCCCUAGGCUUCUUCUGGGAAACUCCAUGCGUUCUUGAGACUCUGUGACAUUAAUUACCCUGGCCCUUCCUUUGGUCACCAUUAUAGUUGCAACCUACCUCUAUUGAAUCACUUAUUGUACUGUAUAUUUAAUUUUUUAAAGUGUCCUUUACAAGAAUGUGAGCUCCUCAGGGGCAGGCAAAGAAACUUCAUUCAUUUGGCAUCUCUAUAGCAUAAUGUUUGGUAUAUGAGCAUUUAAUAAAUGUUGAAUAAAUUGCUUCACAUGACAGCUGUUCCUCAUGGCGGGCGUCUUCACUGCCUUUGUUGCAGACUGGGGGAAGGGGGGCAAUAAAGAUGAGAAUAAUUGAAAAAUC